Molecule: ribosomal RNA, 520 nt
Filed under: uncultured Glomus
Lineage: Eukaryota; Fungi; Glomeromycota; Glomeromycetes; Glomerales; Glomeraceae
Description: SSU rRNA
Rfam family: Eukaryotic small subunit ribosomal RNA
Source: RNAcentral
AGCAGCCGCGGUAAUUCCAGCUCCAAUAGCGUAUAUUAAAGUUGUUGCAGUUAAAAAGCUCGUAGUUGAAUUUCGAGAUCAAAUUGUUGGUCGUGCCUUGGUACGCACUGGCAUUAUUGGUUUCUCCCUUCUGACGAACCAUGAUGUCAUUAAUUUGGUGUCUUGGGGGAAUCAGGACUGUUACUUUGAAAAGAUUAGAGUGUUUAAAGCAGGCUCACGCUUGAAUACAUUAGCAUGGAAUAAUGAAAUAGGACGUUUGAUUCUAUUUUGUUGGUUUCUAGGAUCGACGUAAUGAUUAAUAGGGAUAGUUGGGGGCAUUAGUAUUCAAUUGUCAGAGGUGAAAUUCUUGGAUUUAUUGAAGACUAACUACUGCGAAAGCAUUUGCCAAGGAUGUUUUCAUUAAUCAAGAACGAAAGUUAGGGGAUCGAAGACGAUCAGAUACCGUCGUAGUCUUAACCAUAAACUAUGCCGACUAGGGAUCGGAUGAUGUUAAUUUUUUUCAAUGACUCAUUCGGCGCCU